Molecule: transfer RNA, 74 nt
Filed under: Schistosoma margrebowiei
Lineage: Eukaryota; Metazoa; Platyhelminthes; Trematoda; Strigeidida; Schistosomatidae
Rfam family: tRNA
About the family: Transfer RNA (tRNA) molecules are approximately 80 nucleotides in length. Their secondary structure includes four short double-helical elements and three loops (D, anti-codon, and T loops).
Source: Rfam by way of RNAcentral
GCCGUCGUGGCGCAACCGGUUAGCUCGUUUGGCUGUUAACCAAAAAGUUGGUGGUUCCAGCCGACCCAGGGGUG